UCUCGAUUAAUUGUGGAAUAGAUAAGUCUUGUCUCGCUCACUUUCGCUCUCAUGGAGAGGGAGACGCCGGAGCUCGCGGCGCCGGCGACCUUCCUCCGCGAGGAGGAGGGGGCGUCCCCGGAGUCAGUGCGCGCGCGGUUCGAGCGCAUGAUCCGGCGCGUGCAGGCGGAGGUCUGCGCGGAGCUCGAGGCGGUCGAGGGAGGCGCAAGGGACGGCGGCGGCGGUGGUGCGCUGUUCCGGGAGGACGCCUGGACGCGCCCCGGCGGCGGCGGCGGAAUCAGCCGCGUGCUCCAGGGCGGCCGCGUGUUCGAGAAGGCCGCGGUGAACGUCUCCGUGGUCUACGGGGUCAUGCCUCCUGAGGCGUACCGCGCGGCGAGGCCUGAAGCCGCCGCGGCGGCGGCGGCUGGAGGGGAGAAGGCCGGGCCGGUGGCCUUCUUCGCGGCCGGCAUCAGUUCGGUCAUUCAUCCAGUGAACCCAUUUGCUCCAACAAUGCAUUUCAACUACCGGUAUUUCGAAACAGAGGCACCUAAAGAUAUCAUGGAGGAUGAUGCACCGUUCUCUGCAGAUGCACCUGGUGCACCUAGGCAGUGGUGGUUUGGAGGUGGUACUGACCUGACGCCUUCAUAUAUCAUUGAAGAGGAUAUCAAACACUUCCAUUCCGUUCAGAAACAAACGUGUGAUAAAUUUGAUCCUGGCUUUUAUCCUAGAUUCAAAAAAUGGUGUGAUGAUUACUUUUAUAUCAAGUUAUCAUGCUUGUCUGGUCACCAGAACAAGUCAUGGAGAUGGUUAUUUGCGUUUGACCGCAGCAUCGUGGUGAACGGCGUGGGGUGGGUGGAAUAUUUUUUGAUGAUCUUAGUGACUAUGAUCAGGAAACUCUCCUUCAAUUUGCUACAGAAUGUGCAGAUUCAGUUCUACCUGCAUACAUACCCAUUAUAGAACGCCGCAAAGACAUUCCAUUUACUGAGGAGCACAAGGCAUGGCAGCAGCUACGGAGAGGACGCUAUGUGGAAUUUAACCUCGUUUAUGAUCGGGGAACCACAUUUGGCCUCAAGACUGGAGGACGGAUUGAGAGUAUCCUUGUUUCUCUUCCUCUUACCGCACGGUGGGAGUAUGAUCAUAAACCAGAAGUAGGGAGUGAAGAAUGGAAACUUCUUGACACAUGCAUAAAUCCAAGGGAGUGGAUCUGACUUGUUUAGAAGUUCUUGCUCUUUCAGUACCUUGCUAUUAAAAUGUCACCUUGAUCUUUGUAUGGUUCAUGGGCACAUUGUUUUCAUGUACGGUCGAAUGCCAUUUUCUUUUCCCUUUUUGUCUUGUGCAAUGUAACUGAUCCGGUUAUAUCUCUCUAACACAUGGCACAAAACUCUCCUGUGUUUUUCGAGGAAAAAAAUGAAUGAUCAGCCUAAUUUGUCAAAA
Molecule: RNA transcript, 1413 nt
Organism: Panicum virgatum (switchgrass)
Lineage: Eukaryota; Viridiplantae; Streptophyta; Magnoliopsida; Poales; Poaceae
Gene name: oxygen-dependent coproporphyrinogen-III oxidase, chloroplastic-like
Exons: 8
Source: RefSeq, a predicted model, not a curated record